GAUGAAGAACGCAGCGAAAUGCGAUAAGUAAUGUGAAUUGCAGAAUUCAGUGAAUCAUCGAAUCUUUGAACGCACAUUGCCCCCGCCAGUAUUCUGGCGGGCAUGCCUGUUCGAGCGUCAUUUCAACCCUCAAGACCCCUUCGGGGGACUUGGUGUUGGGGACCGGCACAGGGGCCUGCCUGCUUGUCUUGCAGCGCCCUCGCCGCCCCCGAAAUGAAUUGGCGGCCUCGUCGCGGCCUCCCCUGCGUAGUAGCACAAACCUCGCAACGGGAACGUGACGGCGGCCACUGCCGUAAAACAACCCAAUUUUAUUAGAGUUGACCUCGAAUCAGGUAGGAAUACCCGCUGAACUUAAGCAUAUCAAUAAGCGGAGGA
Molecule: unclassified non-coding RNA, 375 nt
Filed under: soil metagenome
Description: partial contains 5.8S ribosomal RNA, internal transcribed spacer 2, and large subunit ribosomal RNA
Rfam family: 5.8S ribosomal RNA (bases 1-120)
Source: RNAcentral